UCCACCAACCUUCGUUUCUUAUCUUUUAUCGGAACAAGUGUCGUAGUAUGCUAAGUUUUAUGUCAAUAUGAAUAUUUUUUACACGUUAUAAGUACCUAAUGGACUCGAAAAUUGGAUAUUUUUGGGAUAAAGAAGGGAAGAUUCAAUCACCGGGAGCCGUAGUUCUUGAGAAAAAUGAAACUACUUAAAAUAAUUUCCGUUCAUAAUCUUGUUCGAUUGCUGACCACUUGGCGAUUUUAUUGUGUUGAUUGCAUCAUGGCUUUGAUUUUUUAUUUCCUUUAAAUGUCCGCCCCGGGUAACUUCAAAUCCUGGAUCCGCCACUGGGACCGGCAGGGAGUUGAUGAUGACGCCGUUGAGAUAGUCCGGCGGGUUGUUCAUCGCCAUAUGUCGGCGUCGGCGAUCCGGCCAUGGCGAGGACCUCUACCCAAGAUAUGUCUUCCCAAACCUACUUUGUCUGAUUACUUCAAGGCCGGGGCGUGGAAAUUAGUCCAGAGAAAGAAGAAAAGGAAGUCGGCGGCCGCGGCGGCGGCAGGCGGAUCGGCUGAGAUCCGAGCUGCUAGGAUCCAGCGUUUGAAUAUCAUCUUGGGCUUGGGUGGGCUCGAGCCGAGUGUUGUGGCUAUGGGCCGGAUUGCGGAUGGGUAUGAGGCCCAACGUCUGGCGAGUCAGAGUGGGCCGGGGUUAGCUGGGUAUGAGGCCCAGGCUAACUUGGACUCCACUUCUGCCGACACCAAAGGCCCAUGCAUGCGAUCGAGUGAUCGUAGAUCGAUAUGCGCCGUACUGCUGCCGUCGCUGCUCCCUAGGGUUCGUCGCCGCGGGGUGGCUUCGGGGUUUGCAAGUGUGGUCCGGGUGGUGCUACUCGCAUCCCUCCUCUUGUGACGAUGGCGGGACGGGGUGGUUCGGCCGCGACCGGUCCGAAGAAUCCGGUGAUCGCCGGGGUUGUGCCGGCCGGCCGAGGUGGUGGACUUCCACCAGGCCAGAGGCCUGCGCUGCAUGUGGGUCGUGGCGCGCUGCCGGGGCCGAGACCAGCGCUGGCCGCUGGGUGCGGCACUCCGCCAGGUCCGCGACCUGCGCUGGCUGCGGGGGCGGUGCCGGCCGCUAGGCGUGGUGGUCAGGGCUAUAGGCCACCGGCACCGGCUGUCCCGUCGCCAUCUACUGCUGCUGUGGGGCGCGGUAUUUCUUAGCAAAGACCGCCGACGCCCAGUGCGGCCAUGGAAGCACCUCGCAAGCAUGCCUUGGUGCCGGGUCAGCAGCGCAAGCUGCGCCACCACCACAUUACGUUGCUAGGCCGCCUCAGAAGCGUGCUGUGCCAGCACAGAUUACGCCAGCGCAACAUGUGGCGGGCGAGCGAGGUGCGGAUGCUGCUCAUGCACCGGCUAACCGCGGCGGUAAUGGACAACCCCGAGGACAGUGGGGUGAUGAUGGCUAUAAUGCUUAUGGGGAUGGCCAAUAUCGUGGCUCAUCGUCCGCGGGUGGCGGGUGUGGCUACGCAUGGCAGAGUGAUGGGUCAGCGGAACGACCUUUCCACGGCCCUCCGGGAGGUUUUGUUGAGGGGGCGUCUGGCGCUGAUUAUAGGCAGCGAGGCGGCUACCGAGGUCAUCGUGGUGGUCGCGGUGUGCGCGGUGGUAGGAACCGUUACCGCCAACCUCUAUAGUUUUGGAACAUAUAAACACGGCAUCAAAGUGCUACCUGGCACCAAAUAAAGAGUUCAGGUCAGGGUGUUAUACUGCAGCUAAGCAGUAUUGUCUGAAUUUCUAAGUUUGAGGAGGAUUUCAGUGUUUCUAAAGAAAGGGACAAGGAUCAUGGCUAUAAGAUUGUUGAAAGACUCGGAGACAUGUAUCAUGAAUCGGGUGCAGUAUGCUUUCUACCCGUCUUUUCCUUAUUGACUAAACCUUAGUAAAUGACUAUUUCCAGUUUUCUCAUGUAACCUGAACUGCUGCUGGUUUAAAUUUCAGUUCCGCAAGCUGCGGCACACAUGGUCUGCCUCCCUGUCAUCCUACCUGCUUCAGGGCCCUCUACUUCUUCCCCCAAGAUUGCCUUUAUGAUUAACAAAUCUGACAAGAGUAAUUUAAUUGGUGACACAUCAUAUUUAUUCUGCAACUGCACGUGAAUUCUCAUCUUGCGCCUACCUCUUUUGCUUACCAGGUUGCAGAAUUUCAUUAACUUAUUUGUCGAAGUAUCCUGCAAAAUCAUUUCUCUUAUGGGAAUUAGCCUGUUGUAUUGAUCUAACAAGGUCCACUUCAACCUACGUAACAAUUAUGCAGUGAAGAUGGAGAGCUUUAGGCAAAAAAAGAAAGAAAAAAAACUAGCACGUGAUCUACGGAGAAUAACUUUGACAGCAACUCCAACUAUGCAAUGGAGUACACUUGAUGCGAUCAAUUCUGGUGUGUGUGUGUGUGUUUGUGGAAUGCAAUGACGUAUGAAUAACGACAGAAAAAUAUGCCUGAGGAGUAUGGGUUGCACAGAGGAGUAUAAGGAUGUCUUCAUCGGGCCAGUCCACGUGGAAGACGUCGCGUUAGCCCAUAUCACAUUGUUUGAAAACCCGGCUGCAUCCGGGAGGCACCUCUGUGUGGAGCCCAUAUGUCACUUGAGCGAUUUCGCGUCCCAAGUCCCGGAGCUCUACGCCGACUACGAAGUCCCGAAUUUAGUUGGCAGAUUACCUGAGGACACGCAGCCUGGGCUGGUGAGAGCGGAGGUAGUGCCGAAGAACUGAUGGCACUGGGCCUGCAUUUCACUCCUUUGGAAAAGAACAUCAAGGAUGCAGUGGAGAGCCUUCGGAGAAGAGGAUGCAUCGCCUGAUGGCUGGAUUAUUAGCUGUACCAUAUUCCUUCCCUUCUGUUGUAGGGUCAUGAUGAUCAACCCUUGCUCCAGAGAUGUGUGUUACG
Molecule: long non-coding RNA, 2882 nt
Organism: Triticum aestivum (bread wheat)
Lineage: Eukaryota; Viridiplantae; Streptophyta; Magnoliopsida; Poales; Poaceae
Exons: 4
Source: RefSeq, a predicted model, not a curated record